This 271-nucleotide unclassified non-coding RNA is filed under the name uncultured fungus. Its description in RNAcentral is "sequence contains ITS1, 5.8S rRNA gene". The stretch from base 223 to 271 matches the Rfam family "5.8S ribosomal RNA", at positions 1 to 49 of the family's 154-position model. The record is from RNAcentral. Lineage: Eukaryota; Fungi.
UCUCCGUUGGUGAACCAGCGGAGGGAUCAUUACAGCGUCGCGGCGUCGACCCCCAAGGGGGGAGGCUGCCUGCACCUGCACACUUGCCGUCGUUACCGCCGUCCGGGCCGUGUUGCCUCGGCGCGGCUCGCGCCCCGCUUCGGGGCCGGGCCCGCCGAAGGGACCGCCCACAACACUCUGUAUUUUCCAUGGACCCUCUGAGAACACUAUUAAAUAAGUCAAAACUUUCAACAACGGAUCUCUUGGUUCUGGCAUCGAUGAAGAACGCAGC